RNAcentral lists this ribosomal RNA (484 nucleotides) under uncultured bacterium. RNAcentral's name for it is "partial 16S ribosomal RNA". It matches the Rfam family "Bacterial small subunit ribosomal RNA", at positions 30 to 507 of the family's 1533-position model. The record is from RNAcentral.
AUUGAACGCUGGCGGCAGGCCUAACACAUGCAAGUCGAGCGGAUGAAGGGAGCUUGCUCCUGGAUUCAGCGGCGGACGGGUGAGUAAUGCCUAGGAAUCUGCCUGGUAGUGGGGGAUAACGUCCGGACACGGGCGCUAAUACCGCAUACGUCCUGAGGGAGAAAGUGGGGGAUCUUCGGACCUCACGCUAUCAGAUGAGCCUAGGUCGGAUUAGCUAGUUGGUGGGGUAAAGGCCUACCAAGGCGACGAUCCGUAACUGGUCUGAGAGGAUGAUCAGUCACAUUGUAACUGAGACACGGUCGAGACUCCGACGGGAGGAAGCAGUGGGGAAUAUUGGACAAUGGGGGAAAGCCGGAUCCAGCCAUGCCGCGUGUGUGAAGAAGGUCUUCGGCUGGUAAAGCACUUUAAGUUGGGAGGAAGGGCAGUAAGUUAAUACCUUGCUGUUUUGACGGUACCAACAGAAUAAGCACCGGCUAACUUCGUG